UGCGCGGUGGAGCUGCGUGAUCUGCCGUCGGGCUGGGAGGUUUCCGAUCGGGCGGAGAGCUCUAGGCGUAGAUCGCGCGAUGGUGGGAAGCAACACAACGAGCUAGAUCUAGUUGCAUGCGUCGUUCUGCUGUGAGGUGACGGGAGUUCUCUGAAGAUUCUAGCGACAACAGUUACAGAGCAUGCUAUAAUGAAUAAGGAGACAGACAAGCAUUCCCGACUGCGGCUACCAUUGUCCCAGUCCAAACAGAUGUUCCUAGCGCAUUUAGGAAGACUACCAUUGUCCCAACUGCAAAUUUGGCACCAAAAACUGCUCCUGCACGACCCUUUAAGGAUAGCAUGUAUUGGAGUUGUAACUUCUUCAGACAAUUCCUGAGAUCCAAGGAGGUCUGGAGGAGGAAGAAGGGCUGGAAUUCUUCUUUCAGAAGAAGCAUCUAGAAGAAGCAUCUGGACAAGAGGGAUGGUGAGAGAGAGGGGUGGUUGGGGGCGGUACCCAUCUGAGGUGGUAGAUAAAGACAAGGUCUUUCUGUUUUUGCAUCGUCUGUAUUAAACUAUUUUGUCUGGACACAACCUUUUUACCAAUCGAGUGCUGGGCUGGACAACCUAGCAUCCGGAUGCUAGACCGGACAAACGAGCACCCUGAUGCUGGGUUUGGCAAACUAGCACCCGGGUGCUGGGUCGGGCAAACCAGCACCGGAUGCUGCCUAGCCACGUCC
Lolium rigidum is the source of this 715-nucleotide long non-coding RNA. RefSeq lists it as uncharacterized. Lineage: Eukaryota; Viridiplantae; Streptophyta; Magnoliopsida; Poales; Poaceae. The transcript is spliced from 3 exons. The record is from RefSeq and is a predicted model, not a curated record.